GCUAAAACUUACUACAGGAAUGUUGGGCUUGGGCAUAAUCUUUUCAAAGAUUUGAAGGACUGAAACAAUCCCACGCUAGGAUUGUCGUCAAGAGUGUGCCCCAACCUCCAUCAUCCUUCGCCAACCAUCUUCCUCUUCAACACUGUUAUCCGGGGUCUCGCGCGUGCCCGUCGUCCUGAUUCCCUCUGUACUUCUGUCUUCUUACUGAAACGGAUAGCUGACUUCUAUCUUCCUCCUAAUACAUUCAACUUUACUUUCCUCUUCCAAGCUUGUGCCAAAGUGGUAAUCAAGAAGUCUUUUGGAAUGGACCCGUUCGUCCUCAAUUUGAUGAUCCAGCUCUACUCGGUUUGUGAGAAACUGCAAGACGCACAACUGGUAUUCGAUAAAACGGGUGAAUCUAACGAAUGGAGAAAUUUAAUGGCUCUUGAUGUUUUUGAAGAAAAUGCUAGAAAGAAAUGAGGUUUCAUGGAAUAGUCUGAACGGUGGGCCGUUCAUGUUUGGUUAUCUUGAUGAUGCGCAAUGUCUCUUUACCCACAUGCUCAAGAGGAAUCUGGUCUCAUGGGUUGUUAUGAUCUCCAGAUAUGCUCAACAUAAGCAGCCAAUGGAAGCUUUAGUUUUAUUUGGGGAGAUGCAACUACUAAAUCAGGAACCGAAUGCUGCAGUUCUGCUCUCAUUGAGGUGUACGCAAAAUGCAGUAACAUCAAUCUAGCAAUGCAAGUCUUUCAUUAAUCAAGAGAAAAGUAUGUUUCUGCUUCUAUAUCAGCCAUUGCUGGGUUGGCACUCACUGGCCAAAGCGAGGAAGCACUUUCGGUCUUUGAGCAAAUGACGAGUGAGGGCCUUACAACGGAUAGUUUUUCCUUCACUGCAGUUUUGUGUGCUUGCAGCCACAUGGGUUCGGUGGAGAAAGGUUUCCACUACUUCAAUUUAAUGCUUGUGUUCACAGGAUCAAUCUAGAUUUGGAUCACUAUGCCUGCAUGUUAGAUCUUCUUGGCUGUGCAGAUUUGUUGGAGGAAGCAGAAAGGUUCAUAGCUUGCAUGCCAAUAAAUCCAGACCAUGUAAUAUGGAGGGCCCUCCUUGGCGCAUGCAGGAUCCAUGGGAAUAUGGAGAUGGGUCAAAGGGUGGGGAGUUUUCUGAUAGAAUCUGAUCGAGACCAUGGUGGACGUUACAUUCUUCUUUCAAACAUUUAUGCAGAGUAAAGGAGAUGCUGCUAAGGAAGUUAUGAGAACUAUGUGAAGAAGAAUUAAACGGGUCCCUGGGAGUAGUUUGAUCAAGGUAGAUGGUGUUGUUCAUGAGUUUGUAGCAGGAGAUAGACCCCAUGACAAGACUGAUGAGAUAUAUUUGAUGUGGGAAGACAUUGCUAGGGAGAUAAAGGAAGUUGGGUAUUCGACAGAGACAAAAGCGUUCAUGUUUGAUAUGGAAGAAGAGGAAAAAGAAGCUGUAAUUGGGUACCACAGUGAAAAACUGGCUUUAGCUUUUGGAUUUCUUUGCACAGAGCCUGGAUCAAUGCUUCGAAAUUGUGAAGAAUAUUUGGGUUUGUAGGGAUUGCCAUUCUGCUAUUAAGCACAUUUCUAUGGUUUUUAAAAGGAAAAUUGCAGUUAGAGAUAAGAAUCGGUUUCAUCAUUUUGAGGGAAGGUCUUGCUCCUGCAUGGACUACCGGUGAGCAAGUUACCUAUUUUGGAGUAGAAUGUACUGGUGAGCAACUCACUCCAUGUUUGGCUCCCUGAGCAAGGGAAAGGGAGAGGAGAAGAUCCAUACAUUGAGUUCGAGGAAACAAUGAUGUACUAAGGCCAGUUGGAUACACAAAGAUGCGCACAGGAAUUUUACAAUGUAAUUGAGAAGAGGAAAAAAUAAUUCUUUUGUUAUUGAAUCACUACAAAACUUGGGAUACAAGUUUUCAGGAGCUGAAUCUUCUGGCUUUGGUUUCCCUAACUGAUCAAAGAAGGCAGGGAAAAGGACAUCUAUAAACUUAAUCUUGGUUUAUGAGCUACAGGAAAGAAUUGUUAUACUUCUUGAUCUAUUGCUUGUGUGUAAGUUUGAACAGUUCUGGGCAAGUGAAUAUGAUAAGUUAGGCAUGCUUUCCAGCAUGUGGAUUGGAUUGGGAAGAGUUUAGAAAAUACCACAAUGCAUGUCUGACAACAAAUACAUCUGUGGAGUUCACCUUUUUGCUUUAUAUCCUCACUGUGAGAUUAGAUGGGUGUCCUGGUGUUCAAUAGCAACCUGUUUCUUUCCAGAUUUUUCUUUUGUAAAUUUACCCAGGGGUAAAGCCACUGAAUUUAAUCUAAUGGAUUUGAUGGAAGCUUAGCAGAGCUCGAGAAGAUAUUUGAGAUUGCAAUAAAUGGAUCAGAUGAUGAGAAGAUGUCUGCUGCUACCAUUCUUUGUGGGGCAUCUCUAAUUCGUGGUUGGCAUAUACAUGUAUUGAGACAUUUCAUUCUUUGUUCAAUAAAUGUUUUUUGGACUUGAAA
Long non-coding RNA from Macadamia integrifolia, 2462 nucleotides. RefSeq lists it as uncharacterized. The record is from RefSeq and is a predicted model, not a curated record. The transcript is spliced from 2 exons. Lineage: Eukaryota; Viridiplantae; Streptophyta; Magnoliopsida; Proteales; Proteaceae.